GAGUUUGAACCUGGCUCAGGAUGAACGCUGGCGGCGUGCCUAAUACAUGCAAGUCGAGCGAACAGAUAAGGAGCUUGCUCCUUUGAAGUUAGCGGCGGACGGGUGAGUAACACGUGGGUAACCUACCUAUAAGACUGGGAUAACUUCGGGAAACCGGAGCUAAUACCGGAUAACAUUUAGAACCGCAUGGUUCUAAAGUGAAAGAUGGUUUUGCUAUCACUUAUAGAUGGACCCGCGCCGUAUUAGCUAGUUGGUAAGGUAACGGCUUACCAAGGCGACGAUACGUAGCCGACCUGAGAGGGUGAUCGGCCACACUGGAACUGAGACACGGUCCAGACUCCUACGGGAGGCAGCAGUAGGGAAUCUUCCGCAAUGGGCGAAAGCCUGGCGGAGCAACGCCGCGUGAGUGAUGAAGGGUUUCGGCUCGUAAAACUCUGUUAUUAGGGAAGAACAAAUGUGUAAGUAACUGUGCACAUCUUGACGGUACCUAAUCAGAAAGCCACGGCUAACUACGUGCCAGCAGCCGCGGUAAUACGUAGGUGGCAAGCGUUAUCCGGAAUUAUUGGGCGUAAAGCGCGCGUAGGCGGUUUCUUAAGUCUGAUGUGAAAGCCCACGGCUCAACCGUGGAGGGUCAUUGGAAACUGGGAAACUUGAGUGCAGAAGAGGAAAGUGGAAUUCCAUGUGUAGCGGUGAAAUGCGCAGAGAUAUGGAGGAACACCAGUGGCGAAAGCGACUUUCUGG
This 741-nucleotide ribosomal RNA is filed under the name uncultured bacterium. Its description in RNAcentral is "bacterial SSU rRNA". It matches the Rfam family "Bacterial small subunit ribosomal RNA", at positions 9 to 732 of the family's 1533-position model. The record is from RNAcentral.